Long non-coding RNA from Pantherophis guttatus, 3769 nucleotides. RefSeq lists it as uncharacterized. The record is from RefSeq and is a predicted model, not a curated record. NCBI's taxonomy places the organism in Eukaryota, Metazoa, Chordata, Lepidosauria, Squamata, Colubridae.
GGCGAGGGAGUAAGGAGGACUCCCUGUGAGUCAAUAGUAGAAGACAGGCCCGGAAGGGCGGGAGACUCACAAAAGCGACCUGUCACCCAAGGGUGCGAGUGGGUGGAAGUGGUGUGGGCUGGAGUUAGCCAGCUCUCCCCAAUCGCCCGCCUACGAAGCCAGAGGCAUUCACACACAUCUACCCAAUCAACCGGAGUGUCUAUCGGGGGGGGGGGUGUUCACAAGUGAGCGUUGGAGGAAUUUCUCCUCUGCCUGGAUCUUUCUCUCCCCCCCCCCCCACCUUUCCUCCGCGUUAUUAGUGAGAUACUGGCUAAGGCAGCAAUCAACGUCAUGUAGCCGAAGGGCAAAAACACAGGCUUGUCCUAGCCUUUUAGCGCCUCCUACUGGCGACCGUGAAGAAAGCGCACGACGGGGCAAGGGAAACGGGGUCCCGUCGGACACGGUUCGGGGUUCCAUUCCUUGCCUUCAAGAAGCCGAACAGAUGCCACACCAUCUGCAUGGACAAAGCAAGAUUUUUCUCCCCUGUUCUUUCCCAGGAAAAGCAGCUAUAUAUUCUUGGAGCUCGCUGCCUUCCAUGGAAAUCAAACGGCGGACUGAAUGGUAACAGGAAGAGGAGAGAUACUGGCAGCUAAGAUCCUUGUGUGAACAAGUGGUGGAUUUGAACCGUGGUGAAUCUGUAGCACUGCCCAGUACCUCGUGCAUGUCGCUUAAGUACCAGGGAGGUGUGGCUAAAGGUGGUUGGUUCUGCGCAUGCUCGAGGAUCAUUUUCGCUCUGCAGUUGCCGGGGAAAGAGCUCAUGGCCGUAGCUCCUGGGUGAAGGCCCCACUCAUCUGUAUGAAGUCUCGGUUCCAUCUUGGGAGCCUUUCGGAGGCCGAAGGAGGCUUGGGUCGUCGCCUGAGUCAUCGGGAUGUCCCUUGGGAUCCUUGGGUUCGGAAGACCCACAGUCGUUGGGCGAAGAUCUGGAUGAUCUGGUCCGGUGUUCGGUCUGUUGACUGGGCCCAGGUUGAAGUCUUUGGUCGUCGAGGGUUCCUGAUAGCUCGCUGGUGUCUGCUGGGUUGGUGAAUCUGUAGCACUGCCCAGUACCUCGUGCAUGUUGCUUAAGUACCAGGGAGGUGUGGCUAAAGACUCCAAUCUCGCCUUCAAAAUAUGUUCCCAAAGGUUAAAGGAUCCAUAGAAAGAUGUGGGAGAUUUUAUAUACCCUAGUGCUUUUUAUACCAUGUAUACCAGAACUAUGCCUCUCAGAAUUUCCAGCCAAUGAAGGUGAUGCUGACUUCACAUUUUGGCGACAGUAGACUGAACAUAUCCAGAGGGUACCAGAUUAGGAGAGAUGUUAAUUUGUAAUUUUCUGUUGACAUAUGAAGAAGUCAGUAUAUUCCCCAUACACGUAAAUAGAAAACAUGCUAACAUGCAUUAUAAAUCAUUGUGCAGAUUUUUUAUGCUGAAUUGAAAGGUUCUAACUUGUAGACUACCAGGACUGUCCAGUGUGGAAAUUAUUUGUAAAACAAAGCUAGUAUGGAACAUAGGGGUUGGAAUUAGACAGGGAACAUAGUAUAUUACAUCCGUAAUGUCUGCUAUCUCUUCUACAGCCCACUCUGUCCCUACAAAUCCACUAUUUGAGGCUCUGCCUUAAGCCCCAUUACCCCAUAAAAUGCCUUUGGGUCUCCUGUGGCUUGGAGAGAAAGGCUUCUAUAUGCACUACAUGCCAGCAGCUUGCUUUUCUUUUAGUUUUUUGUUUCCCUGUACUUCUCUAAACGCUAUCCUUGUGCUUCUCUUCUGAUUUGUUGCCACCCCCGUCUUCACCUCAUUUUUAAUAAGUGCUUUUCAUGUUCUCCUGUAUUCACUCCCAACUCAGAGGACACACCAGCUGUUCCAUUUGGAAUGAUCCGUUUUUUGCAAUUCUGCCAGGUUCUGUAUGUGCUGGUUAUAGGAGGAGGAACAGAAGAGAAGGCAAAAGGUGGUGGGUUGAGAAAGGAAAGAUGGGAAAAAAGCAAGGGGAAAAGAGGAAGAGGAGGGAGGAGGAGGAGGAGGAGGAUGGGAACAGAAAGAAGCAAAAAUAGGAGUGAUGGAUUGCUUUCAAGUUUAGACAAACUGUGGAGAUCAAGGAAACAAAUACCAGAACUAUGUAGGCAUUUAAUCAAUGUCUUUAAUUAUUUUUAAGCAUUUAUUAAAGCAACGUACACUGCUUUUAGCACUGUAAGUAUCUCAGCUUUCACUGGAUAGGGGAUAAAAUACAUAAUCCUUGCUUAUUUUUAUAGGUAGAUGGAUGUAGACUAAAAAAGAAUGUUUGCAAUAUGUGAAAAAAAACCCUCAAAACCAGAGGAACCUCUGAUUAAAAAGCAUUGUCCCCAUUUGCAGUGUACGGUGGGUGAUAUUUGCCCUUCCCACAUAGUUCUUUUCAUAUACUGAGUUUUAUAAAGCACUUUGGACCUCAAGUGUCAGGUGUUUAACUAGUGAUAUCUGUGGCUGUCAAGUUUUUUUUCCAUAAUAUAAAUAUAGAUUAAUUUAUAUUGGUAGAGGUUUCUAGGGUUGCUUAGUUACAAGAGAAUCAUAAUGGAUAAGCUUUUUAGCCUACGUUUAUGGAGAAAGAUGACUGUUGAAUAUGACUGGAGAACAAGCACUGGGAUCUAGGAUGGCCCUCAUCCUCUGUAUUAAAUACACUUUUAGAACAUAGGAGGAUAUCAGACAUGUCUGUUCCACCCCAGUGGGUGAAAAGUUACAGAUAAGGAGCAAAGUAAGUAUAGUAGGACAAGAGCAUCUUACGCUGACUUUUGUAUUUACAUUUUGAAGCUUUCUGCUGUCAUCUCCACCACUAGAAGCAAAGCUUUUUGCAGUCCUGAAGGAGAUAACUUUAACUCCCAUCAUGGACUCUCUAUUUAAAAUUCUGCUUAAUGAAGUUGAUGUGCACUAAAUGCAAAAUCCUUCUACUGCAAAAAGGAGACUCCUGCUGCCUAAUAACUCCCAUCACUAUUUUAACAAGGAAGAACACCAAUAAAUCAAUGAGUCAAAAAGGACAAAACAUUAACAGAAAUGGAAAGCAAUCACUCCUAAGAAAAAUAAAUUACAUAAGAUAUAUUACUUUUGAAGUACCCUGGAACCAACUGAAUUAGGUUCAGUUGAUUCCAUCCUUGGAAUCAAACGAACCUAAUGCUGAGGAUCCUCUAAAGUUUUACAUAGAAUAAGGAAAUGUGUUGUGGUCCGCCAGCAGCCUGUGAAGCUAGCAGUGGAGUCAGACAGUGGGGAGGCUGGGGAGGAACAUGGGCCAGUCUUGGAGUCUGGGGAAGGCCCGGACAAGGGCUCUGCGUCGGAGGCAGAGAUGGAGCCAGGGUCAUCUGGGAGUGAUGCGCAGACUCCGGAGCCCCCAGAGUUGGACAGCAGAGAGGCAGAGGAACAGGAGGAGCCUGUUUCUAGUGCACACAUGCACAGAGCUGCCAGAAGGCAAGAGCAGCUAAAGCAAAAGGGACGACUCAGGAGUAAGGCCAGGAGAUGAUUGGCCCCUCCCAUAAGGCUUACAAGAGAAACAAAGGCAAUUGGCCUUUUUGCAGGAAAGCAACGUUGCUAACUCUGUUUCCAGUUGGCGUCUCUUCUUUGUUUCUGAACUUUGUGGGGCUUUGCCAAGUAAGGCUUUUGGCAGGGUGUCAAAGAAGAUAAAGGUUGGUGAUUAUCCCAAAGGACUUUUUCUGAAGGACUUGUUUUGCAACUAAUUGGGACUCAGCUGGGAAUGAAUGUAAUUCUCAGUUGUUACAAUAAAAUAAAAUAAGUUUAUUUGGGA